RNAcentral lists this ribosomal RNA (497 nucleotides) under uncultured bacterium. Its description in RNAcentral is "partial 16S ribosomal RNA". It matches the Rfam family "Bacterial small subunit ribosomal RNA", at positions 28 to 507 of the family's 1533-position model. The record is from RNAcentral.
GAUGAACGCUGGCGGCGUGCCUAAUACAUGCAAGUCGAGCGAACAGAUAAGGAGCUUGCUCCUUUGACGUUAGCGGCGGACGGGUGAGUAACACGUGGGUAACCUACCUAUAAGACUGGGAUAACUUCGGGAAACCGGAGCUAAUACCGGAUAACAUUUGGAACCGCAUGGUUCUAAAGUGAAAGAUGGUUUUGCUAUCACUUAUAGAUGGACCCGCGCCGUAUUAGCUAGUUGGUAAGGUAACGGCUUACCAAGGCGACGAUACGUAGCCGACCUGAGAGGGUGAUCGGCCACACUGGAACUGAGGCACGGUCCAGACUCCUACGGGAGGCAGCAGUAGGGAAUCUUCCGCAAUAGGCGAAAGCCUGACGGAGCAACGCCGCGUGAGUGAUGAAGGGUUUCGGCUCGUAAAACUCUGUUAUUAGGGAAGAACAAAUGUGUAAGUAACUGUGCACGUCUUGACGGUACCUAAUCAGAAAGCCACGGCUAAUUACGUG